Molecule: ribosomal RNA, 2925 nt
Filed under: Escherichia coli
Lineage: Bacteria; Pseudomonadati; Pseudomonadota; Gammaproteobacteria; Enterobacterales; Enterobacteriaceae
Description: bacterial LSU rRNA
Rfam family: Bacterial large subunit ribosomal RNA
Source: RNAcentral
GGGUUGUGAGGUUAAGCGACUAAGCGUACACGGUGGAUGCCCUGGCAGUCAGAGGCGAUGAAGGACGUGCUAAUCUGCGAUAAGCGUCGGUAAGGUGAUAUGAACCGUUAUAACCGGCGAUUUCCGAAUGGGGAAACCCAGUGUGAUUCGUCACACUAUCAUUAACUGAAUCCAUAGGUUAAUGAGGCGAACCGGGGGAACUGAAACAUCUAAGUACCCCGAGGAAAAGAAAUCAACCGAGAUUCCCCCAGUAGCGGCGAGCGAACGGGGAGCAGCCCAGAGCCUGAAUCAGUGUGUGUGUUAGUGGAAGCGUCUGGAAAGGCGCGCGAUACAGGGUGACAGCCCCGUACACAAAAAUGCACAUGCUGUGAGCUCGAUGAGUAGGGCGGGACACGUGGUAUCCUGUCUGAAUAUGGGGGGACCAUCCUCCAAGGCUAAAUACUCCUGACUGACCGAUAGUGAACCAGUACCGUGAGGGAAAGGCGAAAAGAACCCCGGCGAGGGGAGUGAAAAAGAACCUGAAACCGUGUACGUACAAGCAGUGGGAGCACGCUUCGGCGUGUGACUGCGUACCUUUUGUAUAAUGGGUCAGCGACUUAUAUUCUGUAGCAAGGUUAACCGAAUAGGGGAGCCGAAGGGAAACCGAGUCUUAACUGGGCGUUAAGUUGCAGGGUAUAGACCCGAAACCCGGUGAUCUAGCCAUGGGCAGGUUGAAGGUUGGGUAACACUAACUGGAGGACCGAACCGACUAAUGUUGAAAAAUUAGCGGAUGACUUGUGGCUGGGGGUGAAAGGCCAAUCAAACCGGGAGAUAGCUGGUUCUCCCCGAAAGCUAUUUAGGUAGCGCCUCGUGAAUUCAUCUCCGGGGGUAGAGCACUGUUUCGGCAAGGGGGUCAUCCCGACUUACCAACCCGAUGCAAACUGCGAAUACCGGAGAAUGUUAUCACGGGAGACACACGGCGGGUGCUAACGUCCGUCGUGAAGAGGGAAACAACCCAGACCGCCAGCUAAGGUCCCAAAGUCAUGGUUAAGUGGGAAACGAUGUGGGAAGGCCCAGACAGCCAGGAUGUUGGCUUAGAAGCAGCCAUCAUUUAAAGAAAGCGUAAUAGCUCACUGGUCGAGUCGGCCUGCGCGGAAGAUGUAACGGGGCUAAACCAUGCACCGAAGCUGCGGCAGCGACGCUUAUGCGUUGUUGGGUAGGGGAGCGUUCUGUAAGCCUGCGAAGGUGUGCUGUGAGGCAUGCUGGAGGUAUCAGAAGUGCGAAUGCUGACAUAAGUAACGAUAAAGCGGGUGAAAAGCCCGCUCGCCGGAAGACCAAGGGUUCCUGUCCAACGUUAAUCGGGGCAGGGUGAGUCGACCCCUAAGGCGAGGCCGAAAGGCGUAGUCGAUGGGAAACAGGUUAAUAUUCCUGUACUUGGUGUUACUGCGAAGGGGGGACGGAGAAGGCUAUGUUGGCCGGGCGACGGUUGUCCCGGUUUAAGCGUGUAGGCUGGUUUUCCAGGCAAAUCCGGAAAAUCAAGGCUGAGGCGUGAUGACGAGGCACUACGGUGCUGAAGCAACAAAUGCCCUGCUUCCAGGAAAAGCCUCUAAGCAUCAGGUAACAUCAAAUCGUACCCCAAACCGACACAGGUGGUCAGGUAGAGAAUACCAAGGCGCUUGAGAGAACUCGGGUGAAGGAACUAGGCAAAAUGGUGCCGUAACUUCGGGAGAAGGCACGCUGAUAUGUAGGUGAAGUCCCUCGCGGAUGGAGCUGAAAUCAGUCGAAGAUACCAGCUGGCUGCAACUGUUUAUUAAAAACACAGCACUGUGCAAACACGAAAGUGGACGUAUACGGUGUGACGCCUGCCCGGUGCCGGAAGGUUAAUUGAUGGGGUCAGCGCAAGCGAAGCUCUUGAUCGAAGCCCCGGUAAACGGCGGCCGUAACUAUAACGGUCCUAAGGUAGCGAAAUUCCUUGUCGGGUAAGUUCCGACCUGCACGAAUGGCGUAAUGAUGGCCAGGCUGUCUCCACCCGAGACUCAGUGAAAUUGAACUCGCUGUGAAGAUGCAGUGUACCCGCGGCAAGACGGAAAGACCCCGUGAACCUUUACUAUAGCUUGACACUGAACAUUGAGCCUUGAUGUGUAGGAUAGGUGGGAGGCUUUGAAGUGUGGACGCCAGUCUGCAUGGAGCCGACCUUGAAAUACCACCCUUUAAUGUUUGAUGUUCUAACGUUGACCCGUAAUCCGGGUUGCGGACAGUGUCUGGUGGGUAGUUUGACUGGGGCGGUCUCCUCCUAAAGAGUAACGGAGGAGCACGAAGGUUGGCUAAUCCUGGUCGGACAUCAGGAGGUUAGUGCAAUGGCAUAAGCCAGCUUGACUGCGAGCGUGACGGCGCGAGCAGGUGCGAAAGCAGGUCAUAGUGAUCCGGUGGUUCUGAAUGGAAGGGCCAUCGCUCAACGGAUAAAAGGUACUCCGGGGAUAACAGGCUGAUACCGCCCAAGAGUUCAUAUCGACGGCGGUGUUUGGCACCUCGAUGUCGGCUCAUCACAUCCUGGGGCUGAAGUAGGUCCCAAGGGUAUGGCUGUUCGCCAUUUAAAGUGGUACGCGAGCUGGGUUUAGAACGUCGUGAGACAGUUCGGUCCCUAUCUGCCGUGGGCGCUGGAGAACUGAGGGGGGCUGCUCCUAGUACGAGAGGACCGGAGUGGACGCAUCACUGGUGUUCGGGUUGUCAUGCCAAUGGCACUGCCCGGUAGCUAAAUGCGGAAGAGAUAAGUGCUGAAAGCAUCUAAGCACGAAACUUGCCCCGAGAUGAGUUCUCCCUGACUCCUUGAGAGUCCUGAAGGAACGUUGAAGACGACGACGUUGAUAGGCCGGGUGUGUAAGCGCAGCGAUGCGUUGAGCUAACCGGUACUAAUGAACCGUGAGGCUUAACCUUACAACGCCGAAG